Molecule: long non-coding RNA, 3634 nt
Organism: Lagenorhynchus albirostris (white-beaked dolphin)
Lineage: Eukaryota; Metazoa; Chordata; Mammalia; Artiodactyla; Delphinidae
Exons: 4
Source: RefSeq, a predicted model, not a curated record
CUCUUCUGUGCGUCUAUCAGCAGCGCUGUUUCCUGAGCACUUACUGCACGCCAGACGCAGGCACACCUGUCAAUUCACUCAGCUGCGACGGCUACAUGAGCUGGAGCACAGGGGCAGGAAGGGAGCCGUCCAAGAUACAACAUGAAAGAUCGGCUGAUGCUGGCACUGGAUGCCCUGUGGCAGGAAGGAGAUCCCACGAGAUUUAGCACAAGAGCAACUCCCCCAAGAGCCCAAGACUGGGCUGAGAGGACCCAGAAGCCUCCAGGGAAGCCAGGAGGUGGGACUCCUAAACGGUGGUGUGCUGGGGACACCGAACCCCUGAAGGUGGGGACUGGGUCUGAUUUGCCUCCGGGACUAAUCCUGGCCAGGUCCCCGGCCUUGGCCGUGACAUCGACCCAUGCAGUGUCCCGGCCAAGUGGCUGCUCCUCCCGGAGCCUCCGUUUCCUCACCUGUGACCUGGAUGAUCUCUGAGGUUGCGUCCAGCCCCAAAUGCUUGACGUGAACCAGCGAAGUGACCGCUCGUGGAUCACCCGCACGGUGCUGGCAGUGUGCAGUCACCUGUAACCUCAGUGCUGGGCUGGGGCCUUCGGUCCAUGGCAAGAAGAGGUAAAAUCUGUUGACAUGGUGAUGGAUGGGAUGGGGGGGCAAGGGGGCCAGAGGGAGAAGGAAGCCCCUAGUCCUGCCCUCAGGGAGCCACAGUCCAGGAGGAGUGACAUAUCAGUAAAGAGCCAGCAUGUUGCAAGACAGGCAGCCUGGGAGCUCAUCACCAGGCUGGGAGGUGGGGGAAGGAGGGCUUCCUGGAGGAGGUGACUGUGCAUGGAGCCUCAAAAGAUGAGUGAAAGUUCACCAGGCAAAGAAAUUGAGAGAGAAGGUGGGGACGGAGCUGGUGUCGGGGGUGAGGCUGGGAAGACGGCGAGCGGUAUGUGUUGGUGUGGGGAGGCCCCACUAGGCCUGUGUGCUGGAGCAGAGCGGGAGCAGGGAAGGUGGGAGAGCUGGGCAGAGGGAAAGAGCCGUGCGGGAUGCAGAGGGCAGGGAAGAAGGGCUCCUGAAGACUGCACUGGAUCCUGAGGGCAGUGGGGUGGUCACUGAAGGAUUUUAAAGGGGUCGGAUUUGUGUUCUAGAAAGAUCUUAUGGGCUGAAUCUAUGCCAGUCUGGUUUAUGACUGUUUUCCCAGCACCCAGCUCAGUAACGGGCACACAGUAGGGGCUCGAUAAAUGUUUUCAAUCAAUACAUGAAUGCCAACAGUGUACCACUAGGCUGUGGUUGACUCCAGCACUGGGACCUUGGGCCCUCAGUUUCCUUGCUUGUAAAACGAGGGUAACAACACCUGCCUCUUGGGAGGUGAAAGGAAGUAGCACGUGCAAGGCCUCCCUCGGUGUCCUGCACGUGGUCAGCCCGCCACGACCCGAGCAGCAUGUGCUGUGGGCAAGACAGAGGCAGGGACCCGGGUCAGGAGCGGUGGAGUCACCCAGGUGAGAGAAUAAUAUUAACAACAACAAUAAUGUUUAUUAAGGGCUUAAGUUCUGGGACUCCCUUAGUGGUCCAGUGGUUAAGAUUCUGUGCUUCCAUUGCAGGGGGCGUGGGUUCGAUCCCUGGUCGAUGAACUAAGAUCCUACAUGCUGUGUGGUGUGGCCACAAAAAAAAAAAAAAAAAAGGCUUAAGUUCUUUACAUAUUUUAUUCAUAUAAUCUUCAAGACAAGUGAAUGGAGAAGGCAGUAUUUUAUAGGUCAUCCCAAUUUUAUCGUCCAGGAAACUGAGGAUCAGACAGGUGAGGUGACUGGCCCGAGGCCCUGAGGCCAGUGAGUGGUGGACAGAACUGCACUGGACACCAGAGCCCAGCUUGUGACCACUAAGCUGGUGAUGGAGACAGGUCAGGGCAGCCACCAGGGCAGGGAGAGGUGGGGGGACAGAGUCAGACUGAUGGACCAGAUGGUGGGGGCAUGCCUGGGAGAGGGAGUUAUCAAGGAUGCCCCUAGGUUCUGGCCUGGAUGACCAGGUGGAAGGUCAUUCCAUUUCCUGAGUGAGGGACACAGCAGGAUAGGCAGGCUUGGGGAGGAAGGACACGCUGAGUCUGAGGGGCUGUUAGGGUGUCUGGGUGGGGAUGCCCGGGAGGUCUGGCGUCUAGGCGGGGUGGUCUGGAUGAGGGCGAAAUGAGCUCAUAGGGCAAGUGGAAGGCAUGUGGGUGGGUGGAGGAGCCCCAGCCCUGGAGGUGAUGUCGACAGCAGACGUUACACAGUGUUGACUCUGGGCCAGACAUGAUCCUAAGCCCUGGUAUUAUUUCAAUUCUCCCAACAAACCCUGUGAGGGAAUGCCAUUACCAUCCCCAUUUUAUAGACGGGGAAAGUCAGGCAAGAGACAUUCUGUUUGGAAUGUCAGAAUAGGUACAUCUGUAGAGACAGAGAGUAGAGUGGUGGUUCCCUAGGGCUGGGGAGUUAAGGGAGUUAAGGGAUGAUGUCUAAAGGGUACAGGGUUUAUUUUGGGGGGUGAUGAAAAUGUCCUAAAAUGAUUGUGGUCAUGGCUGUACAACUCUAUAAAUAGACUAAGAAACAUUGAAUUGUGCACUUCAGACGCGUGAAUUACAUGUCAAUAAAGCCAGGGGAGAGACAGAGGCGCCCAGCCAGUAGACGGAAGCAGGGCUUGGAGGGGCAGGGGAGCCUCGGGAGCGGGAAGGAGGGUGGUUUGGGUGAGAAGCUGGGGGAGGAUGCUGUCUGCAGCAUUAGCUGCUCCCGACUGGUCCAGGGUGUGAGACCUGGACGUUCCUUGGAGUUUGUCAGUCCAGGUUCCCUGGUGACCUGGUCCACACUGGUUGGGGACCCGGCCCUGUGGGUGGACGGGCCCUUCUGGCAGUGGAGAUCGCAAGAGGAGUGCGUCAUCCUUUGGGACCUGGAUGGAGAUCUCUCCACCUCAGGAAGCAGUAAACCCCCAACCAGGAAGCUUUGGAGGCUUGCCGCCCCUGACUUUGGGUGGAGGCUGGGGAGGAAUGAGGGUAGGAAAAUGCCUCAGUUGCUCUUCCUGAAAGAGCGAGACCCCCAGUCAACAGCUCACCCAGAAGUUUCGCACCCCAGCUUCUCCCACAAGAGGGCCCCGGAGUCUGCUGGGGGUCCAGGAGGACGGGAGGGUGUGAAGGGAAGGCUGGGGUAUGGCGGUCCCCCUUCCUCCCGGCACUGAUGCUGGUCACUGCCAGGAGCACAUCCAGGCCUCCCGACUGAGAAUGGCUGCGACCGACCCAUGGUCCCAGCCAAGGAUGGGGCUGUGCGGAGAGGCUCGAGGGGCCCCCGGGCGUGAGCCAAAGAGCAGGAGAUGAGGCAGCUCUGGGCAGCUCCCCAGGCCUCUGUGGCCACAGCCGCCGCGCCCCUUUUGUUCAGGGUCCAUUUAGCCCCCUGCACCCCCACCCCAUGCCUCAGGACUUGUCUCCGUGAUGCAGGAGGCUGGCAGGGAGACUGGGCUGGGCCUGCACUCAGGACCUCCAUGGGGCCAGGAUCCCGUGAGGGGGGCGGAGCAUGCGUGAUUCUCUCAGGAGGCUGAGGCUCAGAGGGUCUUGCUGGAGUCCCUACACCCCCAUCAGGCACUUCUCCCUGGGGAGCCCCGCACGGCCCCACUCAGAGCCCAUUUCUUCUCCUUUAUUUCUAUUUUU